RNAcentral lists this long non-coding RNA (7630 nucleotides) under Malus domestica (apple). RNAcentral describes it as "long non-coding RNA (MDOM_LNC008954)". The record is from RNAcentral. Lineage: Eukaryota; Viridiplantae; Streptophyta; Magnoliopsida; Rosales; Rosaceae.
GGGAAUCCGAGUUACGGAUCUUCCGGAAUUGGAAUUGUAAGUCCAUAAUAUAAAAUGUUAACCGUCACUUAGUUUUGGAAAUUGACGGAGAUCCGACCGUUGGAUGGUAAUGAAAUUUUAGGAUGUUGUCCUAGAGGUAUAAUGUGGACCUCUGGAAGUUAUGGAUUUAAAAUCUGAGUGGCAGAUCUUCCGGAUCGAUCUACGUAGUGACGUAUUUUAUAUAAGUUAUAUAUUCUAUCGAUAUGAAUUCUGAGGUUGGAUUUGAUUACUGUUCUAGGCGGCGAUCGUCAUGACGCCUUGAUGUGUGGUGCUAGGGAGUUGUUGGACGAACUCCAGGUGAGUGGGCAGUUUUGUUUUCCGUAUACAUAUAUAAUUGACGUUUCCCAGAAAUUGAAAAUGUUACGAAAGUAUGCUUUAAAUGCAAAGUAUAAAAGUAUGUUUUCAAAUGCCAUGAGUAGAUUAUAUGAAAGAUAUGAUUUGAGAUAUAUUAGUUGAAAUACCAUGCUUAGAAGUAUGUGAAAAGUAUAUAGAAAUGUGAAUCGAAAUGCCAUGCAUGAAAUGAUAUGAAAAGUAUGAAUUGAGAUAUGAUGCAUAUGUAUGAAUUGGUGCUGUGGACGCACAGGUGAGUAUCAGGUGAGUAUAUUACUGCUAUGAUGAUGUUGAGAUAUAUUGAGCUCAUAACCUGCACCUUGGUAUUAGUGCUUAUUAUUAUUCACCGCAUCGCAUGCUCACCUUGGAUCCAAGUAGAUGCUAGUCGUACAGACCACCGGGGGUGGUUCCGACAUGCCAGUCGUACAGACCAUUAGAGGGGUUCCGACUGGUAGGUGACCUUAGAUUAUGUGCACAGAUGAUUGAUGAGAAAAGCACUAGAGCAUAUUAUUACACCAUUAAGUCGUACAGAUUACAUUAGGUAAUUCCGACUUAUGUGCAGUGUAGUGCCGUACAGGUCAUACUAGGUGACUCCGGCAUGGCCGAACAGGUCACAGUUGGUGACUCCGGUUAUAUGAGAUUUUGAGCUCUACAUUCAGCCGUACAGGACCAUUGUAGGGUCUCCGGUUGAUUUCUUUCUUGCACCUGAUAUGAUUAUUGCUGAUGCAUUCAUACUUAACUGUUGAAUUUAGACAUGGCAUGGCAUGAUUGAUAAAGAUAAAUGUUGAGAUAGUAAAAAUGAAGUUUUGAUAAUAUAUAUGUAUAUUUAUAUUUUACAUUUCUGGGAAAGUAUACAGGUUUUACGGAGAGGGGUUACAACGUUUUGAGAAAUGUUUGGAUUUGGAAAAGAAUUGUUUUACUGACCCACUCAAUUUUGGUUUUGCGCCCCUCCAGGUUCAUGAAUCACAAAGGUGUGGUGACUACGAGGAAUUCGACGGUGUUCUGACAGAUUGGACAAAAUUAGGACUCACUUUCGGGUGUAUCAACUUAGGAAUUGUAUCUUAAAGCUUCCGUACUGUGCAAAUGGUUACGUCACUCUCACGUGACGGCCAGCAUGCCCUCCUUCGGGACGGGGUGUGUCAGUUGGUAUCAGAGCAUGGUUGCAAUCUUGGACAUUUUGAGAAGUUCUAGUGAAUUCUGUCAGAACUACACCGCCUCGUAGCAAGCCACUUAGUUAGAGGAAUUUAGUCUCCCUAAUAUAACGGUUUAGGGGAAACUAUUAUUAUGGUGAUUCAGUCUAUUAUAAAAAGGGACAUUUUAAGAUGGGUUAUGAGUUGAAUUUGAAUCACUUAAGAGAAAUGAUGAACCUGAGGGAGCGAAGUAACGGUUUAACCAUUUGGAAAAGAUGUUUCGGAUUAUGCAAGUCAAAGGAAUCUUCCUUCUGACAAGGGGUCGAGAUGACUACCUGGUUUGAGUUAUGAACGUGUAUCCUGAUGGAAGCAGGAGUAUUAAUUGUUGUCAUCGGAGGAACAGCCGAUUUAAAAUUGUUUAAGGACUUGUUUAAGGAAAAGUUUAUCCCUCCGGCAUUUAUCGAUGGUAGUAAACAAGAGUUUACAAAUAUGAGACAAGGAAGGUGAUGAUCGAGGGAUAUUAUAGAAAGUUUUCAGACUUGCCUUGUUCCAUCCAGAUAUUGUUGUUAUUGGUGGAGGUGUUAUGUUGUUUUAAGCUGGGUGGCAAAAAGGGAAGUGGUAUUUUGGGUGACCACUAUCCAUUGUAGUUCUUAUCAGGAGUAUGCUAGAUGUUGUUGAGUCUUGAGGACUCUGAGAACAUGAGCAACGAGAAUAAAGAAGAAUAAGAAAUGAAUGGGAAUUUAAAGAAGACGAUAAAGUUAAUGAUUCGUCAUAUCAAGGAGAUAGAAAGAUUCAGAGCUUCGAAAGAAGUGAAGCUAGAGUUAAUUCUUCCAGCUGAGGUUUUAAUGUCGCUGGUCAGAGUAAAAGUGAUGGAUAUACUGGUAAUCCCAGAUAUUUGAGACAAGGUGUCUCGAGUAAAGGAAAUGUACUUUGUGCAGCAGGUACAAAAUUAACACUUUGGGAAAUGUGAAAUUAAUGAAUGUGUUUAUGUAAACAGAGGGGACACAUAAUUGUGAAUCGUCCCUAAAAUCAGUUGUACUCAACAAUUUUCCAUGAUAUCAUAGUGUCAAUUCAGCAGAGUUAUGGACUUAGUAGUUUGGUUGGAUUGACCAUGAGUACCGAGAGAUUUGAUGAGUUAUAUGUUCAGCCGUACAGGCCAAAAGAGGUGGAUCCGGCUGACACAUGAGAAAUUGGUGAGUUAUAGGCUCGGCUGUACGGACCACAAGAUGUGGAUCCGGCCGACGUAUUUACUGGGGAAUUGAUGUGUAAGUCGUACAGGUCACUAUAAGUGACUCCGACUAAUGUGCUAGCAUAGAUGGUUGAGCUGGAGAAUCAGCCGUACAGGUCAUUCUAGUUGACUCCGGCUGAUAUAUUUCUGAGUAUGGACAAUGAUGCCAAAGAAAGUAAUGUUGGAACGUGAUAGAGGCGUAUAUGUGUAUUCUAAUGAAAAAAAAAAAUGAUAGUAUUACACCUUUGGGAAUUGUUGCUUACUUAUCGAGACAACGAUGAUUUAUCAGUAUUGCGGGCUGCAGACCGUAAUAUUAAUAACUCAUUCGUGGAUUCGUUAAGCAAGCAAACCGGUAUUUUAUUUUAUGUUAGUGUUGUACUUAUUUAGAAUGUUCAGUAAUAAUAAAGUAUGUAUUGGGUCAGUUAAUUUUAUUCCAUUAGAUUGAUUAUUUAUAGUUGUGACUAGAUGGAAUAUUACGGGAAACCAGUUACUUUCCAUCGAUCUGGAUGACCAGAGAUUACUUUUGUAAGUAUGCAAAAUGGAUUGAGUCAGGCCGUUAUUUAUGCUGUGAGAGCAAAGAGAUUGUUUUCGAAAGGCUGUCAAAAAUACUUAGCUCAUGUGGUGCUAAAUGAUGUUGUUUGGAGUAGUGUGAAUAAUGUCGAAAGAGUUAGACUUUUCUUGAUGUCUUCUCUGAAAGUAUACCUGGAUUGUCUUCAGGCAGAGAUAUGAGGUUCAUUAUUGAUUUGUUGCCAGGUAUAAAUUUAUGUUAAAGAUUGGUUCAUGAUGAGUUAAGGGAAUUGGAAAUUCAGUUGAGAGAAUUGGUUGAUAAAAGUUUUAUUCAACCUAGUACAACACUGUUGAGGAGCACCAGUUUGUUGGUGAGAAAGGAAAUGGACUUAGAGAUUGUUCAUUGAUUAUAGAUAAUGGAAUCGGGUAACGAAUGAGAACCGUUAUCCAUUGUGGUGUAUUGACGCUCAUUUGAUCAGUUCAAAGGUGCUUGUAUAUUUUCAAAGAUUGACUUGAAUACUGUUUAUUAUCAAUUGAAGAUUAUGAGUUAUUGGAUGAAGUAUUCCAAUAAUGCCUUGAUAAAUAGAUAUCAUUUUCAUUGAAGAUAUUCUGGCAUAUUCUGAGCCAGAGCAGAACAUGUAAACGUAUUAAGUCGGUGGAACAAAGAUUGGAAGAAUGUCGGUUGUAUGCUAAGUAGCAAAUGCUAAAGUUAGAUGAAUCAUGUGGCAUUCUGAGAAUUGUUAUAUAUUCUUAAGGUAUUCAAGUGAAUCCUUAAAAGAUAGCAGAAAUUGAGAAAUUGGAACAACCACAAGCCAUAAUUGAGAUUCGGAAAUUCUUAACUUAUCAGGCUAUUUUGGAUGGUUGUGAAAGAAUUUUUAGUCAUUGUUUUGUCAUUGAUGAGACUGUUGAGAAAGGAGGUUAUGUAUGAGUGGGAAGGAAAUUGUGAGCAAAGGAUUCAACAACUGAAGUAUUUCCUCACUCAUGCACGUAUUUUAGUAAUCCCAAAGAAUAAUGGUAAUCAUAAAUUUUUAGUGAUGUUUCUUGAAUGGUAUUGGAUGCAUGUUGAUGCAAAUGUUAGGGUGAUUGCAUACGUUUCACGACAAAUGGAAUCUCAUGAGAUGAAUUACCCUACUGGUGAUUUGGAAGUCACGAUUACCAUCCUUGCUGUGAAGUUAUGGAGACAUUCUAUGUUGAUAAGAAUGCAAGAUUUUACAAAUCAAAAGAGUCUCCAAUAUUUGUUUACUUGGAAGGAUUUUGAUAGGAGGCAGCGAAUGUGAAUUGUAUUGCUUAAUGAACAUGAUUGUACGAUCAGGGUGAUCGUAAAGUUUGUUCUAACUGAAGCACUUGGUGAGAAGACUACAAUAAGAUUAAUGUCUGGCACGUUUGCCAAGAGUAUCAUCUUGUGGAUUGAAACCAACGGAAGAAAAAUUAAGAAUGGAAGAUCGAGAAGAAGUUAUACUUGUUAAAUUUCAAGUUAGGCCUGUUUGGUAAGGUCGUACUUGAAACUUAAAUGCUUGACGAAGAAAUUUAAGAAUUAACCAAGGUAGAGAAAGAAGGUAAGUUAAAUCCUAAGUUAAUCGGACUUAAGUGAUUAUCGAAAAGUUGGUGAAGUUGCUUACAAGCUUGUGAUGCCCUCAGAAUUGGUUAAGGUGCAAAACAUAUUUUAUGAUUCGAUGCGUUGUCACUAGGUGGCAGAUUCGUCACAUAAGAUUCUGGUGUAACUAUUGAGAAUUAAAUUGGAUUCGACUUGAUAAGGAACCAAGGACGACUUUGGAUUGGAAAAAGAAGGUCCUGAGAAAUUAAGACAGAGUAAGUAGUAGUAAAAGCUUUGUGAAGGAAAUCAUUCAGUAGAAAAGUAUGUGGGAGAAAGAGAAUCGGAUGAGAAAGAUUUACCCGAAGCUAUUGUUGGAGUAUGGUUUGAUUUUAGUUGGUUGCUGGAAUUUCGGGGACGAAAUUCUAUAAGGAGGGAAGAUUGUCACAGCCCGUCCCGGAAUUUUAAUUCCGAGGACAUGAAAAGACGAAAAUGCCCUUAAACGGGACUAAGGGGCGAAAAUUUAACAAUUUGGAUUGAGUUGGACACGUGGGAUCCCCACACCCCUCAAUCCUCUCCCUAUUUUCUGCAUACUGUCUCUCUCUCCUCCCUCACGAAUCUCUCUCUCUCUGUCACUCUUCUUCUCCGUUCGAACAAACCAACCACAAAACAACCUUAAACUUCCACCAACGACGGAGUUAAGACUACCAUCGAACUCCUGGAGACUCCACGAUCACGUAGACACCAAUUUCAGGUAAGUUUUACUUCGGAAAACCUAGAUUCUAAACUCCCCGUGAAAGUGCACUGUUCAUGAUCUUCGAAUUGACUUUGUUUUAGGACAAUCCAAGCUCACAGUGAGCUUAGUGAGGUUCCAAGGAAGCUCGGAGUGCUUCGUUGGAAGUUUUUGGACGUAAGAACACGGAGAUCGAUAAGUUCAAAGUUUGGCCGGAGCUUUCGAGGCAUUUUCCGGCGAAUCCCCGGCGAGUUAGGCGUCGAGGUAGGUAUCAAUCUCUUUCGUCUCGUCAAGUACUACAAACUUUCCUUUUUGUUUCACUCAAUUUCGUUGAGUAUUGAAGAAGUUAUACUCAUUUGAAAAAUACCCAGUUUCCGGCGACCUCCGAGGCUUUCGAGGCAGUUUCCGGCCAAACUACGGCGAACUAGGUGUUGGGAAAGGUACCAUUCUCUUUGUCUCUUCAAGGGCUACAACUUUCGUUUUUGAAUCACUUGAUUUCGUUGAGAAAUGACAAAGUUAUGGUAAUUUGAAAAACUGCCCAGAAAACGGCCGCCGGAAAAACCAGUCCGGCGACCCAAGGAAGAAGAAGGUGCUACAGUAAAAAAAUAAAUAAAAAUAAAAUUAUUUUAAAAAUAUGUCGACGUCCGUGACGUCGAGUAGAUCACCGUGGUAUAUUCAUAUACCCAAAUUGAACACCGUAUGAGAAAGUUAUUGAAGAUUGUUGGUUAGGUGUUCAAAUAACGUUUUUAUAGUUUUCACAUUUAGGUGAAAAUGUGAAUUGAUGAUCCGACCGUUGGAUCGUCACCAAACUUUGAUACGUUGUAAUACGUAAUAUUUGAGGAUUAUUGGAACUUACGGAUUGGGAAUCCGAGUUACGGAUCUUCCGGAAUUGGAAUUUGUAAGUCCAUAAUAUAAAAUGUUAACCGUCACUUAGUUUUGGAAAUUGACGGAGAUCCGACCGUUGGAUGGUAAUGAAAUUUUAGGAUGUUGUCCUAGAGGUAUAAUGUGGACCUCUGGAAGUUAUGGAUUUAAAAUCUGAGUGGCAGAUCUUCCGGAUCGAUCUACGUAGUGACGUAUUUUAUAUAAGUUAUAUAUUCUAUCGAUAUGAAUUCUGAGGUUGGAUUUGAUUACUGUUCUAGGCGGCGAUCGUCAUGACGCCUUGAUGUGUGGUGCUAGGGAGUUGUUGGACGAACUCCAGGUGAGUGGGCAGUUUUGUUUUCCGUAUAUACAUAUAUAAUUGACGUUUCCCAGAAAUUGAAAAUGUUACGAAAGUAUGCUUUAAAUGCAAAGUAUAAAAAAGUAUGUUUUCAAAUGCCAUGAGUAGAUUAUAUGAAAGAUAUGAUUUGAGAUAUAUUAGUUGAAAUACCAUGCUUAGAAGUAUGUGAAAAGUAUAUAGAAAUGUGAAUCGAAAUGCCAUGCAUGAAAUGAUAUGAAAAGUAUGAAUUGAGAUAUGAUGCAUAUGUAUGAAUUGGUGCUGUGGACGCACAGGUGAGUAUCAGGUGAGUAUAUUACUGCUAUGAUGAUGUUGAGAGAUAUAUUGAGCUCAUAACCUGCACCUUGGUAUUAGUGCUUAUUAUUAUUCACCGCAUCGCAUGCUCACCUUGGAUCCAAGUAGAUGCUAGUCGUACAGACCACCGGGGGUGGUUCCGACAUGCCAGUCGUACAGACCAUUAGAGGGGUUCCGACUGGUAGGUGACCUUAGAUUAUGUGCACAGAUGAUUGAUGAGAAAAAGCACUAGAGCAUAUUAUUACACCAUUAAGUCGUACAGAUUACAUUAGGUAAUUCCGACUUAUGUGCAGUGUAGUGCCGUACAGGUCAUACUAGGUGACUCCGGCAUGGCCGAACAGGUCACAGUUGGUGACUCCGGUUAUAUGAGAUUUUGAGCUCUACAUUCAGCCGUACAGGACCAUUGUAGGGUCUCCGGUUGAUUUCUUUCUUGCACCUGAUAUGAUUAUUGCUGAUGCAUUCAUACUUAACUGUUGAAUUUAGACAUGGCAUGGCAUGAUUGAUAAAGAUAAAUGUUGAGAUAGUAAAAAUGAAGUUUUGAUAAUAUAUAUGUAUAUUUAUAUUUUACAUUUCUGGGAAAGUAUACAGGUUUUACGGAGAGGGGUUACAACGUUUUGAGAAAUGU